AUACGUAGGGGGCGAGCGUUGCCCGGAAUGACUGGGCGUAAAGGGCGCGUAGACGGCUGUCUAAGUCUGGAGUGAAAGUCCUGCUUUCAAGGUGGGAAUUGCUUUGGAGACUGGAUGGCUUGAGUGCGGAAGAGGUAAGUGGAAUUCCCAGUGUAGCGGUGAAAUGCGUAGAGAUUGGGAGGAACACCAGUGGCGAAGGCGACUUACUGGGCCGUAACUGACGUUGAUGCGCGAAAGCGUGGGGAGCGAACAGGAUUAGAUACCCUGGUAGUCCACGCGGUAAACGAUGAGUGCUAGGUGUAGCGGGUAUCGACCCCUGCUGUGCCGGAGUUAACACAAUAAGCACUCCGCCUGGGGAGUACGGCCGCAAGGUUGAA
Molecule: ribosomal RNA, 377 nt
Filed under: uncultured bacterium
Lineage: Bacteria
Description: bacterial SSU rRNA
Rfam family: Bacterial small subunit ribosomal RNA
Source: RNAcentral